GUCUGACCAUUAUGACCGAAGAAGCGACCACUCGUCAACGCCAUCGGCCAUGGCUAAAAUAUUAAUUAUUUUGUUGGAUCCACGAAGGAGCUUACACACCAACUUGCCAAAAUUGACACUUUAAUUUCAAUCAAUACAAACGUUUCGUCAAUUACAUAUUAACCACUAAGUUACAUAUCGUCCAAAAAUCAAACUAAUUUAUCCGGUAACAAUUUGAAG
Molecule: long non-coding RNA, 219 nt
Filed under: Arabidopsis lyrata
Lineage: Eukaryota; Viridiplantae; Streptophyta; Magnoliopsida; Brassicales; Brassicaceae
Description: long non-coding RNA (ALYR_LNC000684)
Source: RNAcentral